RNAcentral lists this ribosomal RNA (465 nucleotides) under Vreelandella stevensii. Its description in RNAcentral is "partial 16S ribosomal RNA". It matches the Rfam family "Bacterial small subunit ribosomal RNA", at positions 338 to 795 of the family's 1533-position model. Lineage: Bacteria; Pseudomonadati; Pseudomonadota; Gammaproteobacteria; Oceanospirillales; Halomonadaceae. The record is from RNAcentral.
CCUACGGGGUGCUGCAGUGGGGAAUAUUGGACAAUGGGCGAAAGCCUGAUCCAGCCAUGCUGCGUGUGUGAAGAAGGCCUUCGGGUUGUAAAGCACUUUCAGUGGGGAAGAAAGCCUUGGGGCUAAUACCCUCGAGGAAGGACAUCACCCACAGAAGAAGCACCGGCUAACUCCGUGCCAGCAGCCGCGGUAAUACGGAGGGUGCGAGCGUUAAUCGGAAUUACUGGGCGUAAAGCGCGCGUAGGCGGUCUGAUAAGCCGGUUGUGAAAGCCCCGGGCUCAACCUGGGAACGGCAUCCGGAACUGUCAGGCUAGAGUGCAGGAGAGGAAGGUAGAAUUCCCGGUGUAGCGGUGAAAUGCGUAGAGAUCGGGAGGAAUACCAGUGGCGAAGGCGGCCUUCUGGACUGACACUGACGCUGAGGUGCGAAAGCGUGGGUAGCAAACAGGAUUAGAUACCCCGGUAGUC